RNAcentral lists this unclassified non-coding RNA (344 nucleotides) under fungal sp. RNAcentral's name for it is "partial internal transcribed spacer region". The stretch from base 1 to 46 matches the Rfam family "Eukaryotic small subunit ribosomal RNA", at positions 1786 to 1831 of the family's 1831-position model. The record is from RNAcentral. Lineage: Eukaryota; Fungi.
AAGUCGUAACAAGGUAUCUGUAGGUGAACCUGCAGAUGGAUCAUUUCGAUGAAAACCUUUUUUCUGAGGUGUGGCUCGCACCUGUCCAACUAAACUUGAGCUACCAAAUUUUAACACGGUUGCAUCGGUUGGCUGUCAAACAGUGCGGCGCGUCCUUCCCUAAUUUUUAUUUUUUUAAUUAUUUGGGAGAGGCGUUGCCAAGCUGGGCGGCGGUCGACACAACAAUGAAACACUUUUGAUGAUCUAGGAUUUGAAUGAAAGUUCAUUUUUACGAUGGAACCGACUGGUAAUGCGGUCGUCUAAAUCUAAAAAACAACUUUUGGCAACGGAUCUCUUGGUUCUCC